UACAGAGGUCUCAAGCGUUGUUCGGAUUUAUUGGGUUUAAAGGGUGCGUAGGCGGCCUAUUAAGUCAGUGCUGAAAUAUCCCGGCUUAACCGGGAGGGUGGCAUUGAUACUGAUGGGCUUGAGUAAAGUUGAGGUAGGCGGAAUUGACGGUGUAGCGGUGAAAUGCUUAGAUAUCGUCAAGAACACCUAUUGCGAAGGCAGCUUACUAAGCUUUAACUGACGCUGAUGCACGAAAGUGUGGGGAUCAAACAGG
This 253-nucleotide ribosomal RNA is filed under the name uncultured bacterium. Its description in RNAcentral is "partial 16S ribosomal RNA". It matches the Rfam family "Bacterial small subunit ribosomal RNA", at positions 524 to 776 of the family's 1533-position model. The record is from RNAcentral.